GUAUGAUUGCCAAUGAGACAAUCCACAGAAAUGCAGCGGAGGCAAAUUAACACAGUCAUGCAUAUUUUUGUUUUAUGCAUGACAGUUUCUUUAAUUCGUUUUCUGUUGAUAUAUGUCCUAGUUUACCGUUGAAGCUGUUGCUUUUUUGGUAUGUUUAUUUUUUUUUUCGUGCGAGUUACUCUAUUAAAGUUGGAAAAAAAUAUUCCCGACAUUCGGAAAUUCGAAAAAAGACUUCCCGGAUCCCGAAACCUGAUCAUAUACUGCAUUCAGUCUCUGUCGGGACGGUGUUAAAGUAUCACCGUAUAAAAAUUUUCAUUCAAACAAUAUAUCCUUAUAAUAUUUAUUUUCUUAUCCAUAUAAUAUGUAUAUAGUACUUUG
RNAcentral lists this long non-coding RNA (378 nucleotides) under Mytilus galloprovincialis (Mediterranean mussel). The record is from RNAcentral. Lineage: Eukaryota; Metazoa; Mollusca; Bivalvia; Mytilida; Mytilidae.